RNAcentral lists this ribosomal RNA (253 nucleotides) under uncultured bacterium. Its description in RNAcentral is "partial 16S ribosomal RNA". It matches the Rfam family "Bacterial small subunit ribosomal RNA", at positions 524 to 776 of the family's 1533-position model. The record is from RNAcentral.
UACGUAGGGUCCGAGCGUUGUCCGGAAUUAUUGGGCGUAAAGGGCUCGUAGGCGGUUUGUCACGUCGGGAGUGAAAACCAGGUGCUUAACACCUGGCCUGCUUUCGAUACGGGCAGACUUGAGGCAUGCAGGGGAGAACGGAAUUCCUGGUGUAGCGGUGAAAUGCGCAGAUAUCAGGAGGAACACCGGUGGCGAAGGCGGUUCUCUGGGCAUGUUCUGACGCUGAGGAGCGAAAGUGUGGGGAGCGAACAGG